RNAcentral lists this ribosomal RNA (429 nucleotides) under Chloroflexota bacterium. RNAcentral describes it as "Chloroflexi bacterium partial 16S ribosomal RNA". It matches the Rfam family "Bacterial small subunit ribosomal RNA", at positions 355 to 776 of the family's 1533-position model. The record is from RNAcentral. Lineage: Bacteria; Bacillati; Chloroflexota.
UGGGGAAUAUUGCACAAUGGGCGCAAGCCUGAUGCAGCCAUGCCGCGUGUAUGAAGAAGGCCUUCGGGUUGUAAAGUACUUUCAGUCGGGAGGAAGGUGGUAAGGUUAAUAACCUUAUCAAUUGACGUUACCGACAGAAGAAGCACCGGCUAACUCCGUGCCAGCAGCCGCGGUAAUACGGAGGGUGCAAGCGUUAAUCGGAAUUACUGGGCGUAAAGCGCACGCAGGCGGUUGAUUGAGUCAGAUGUGAAAUCCCCGGGCUUAACCUGGGAAUUGCAUCUGAUACUGGUCAGCUAGAGUCUUGUAGAGGGGGGUAGAAUUCCAUGUGUAGCGGUGAAAUGCGUAGAGAUGUGGAGGAAUACCGGUGGCGAAGGCGGCCCCCUGGACAAAGACUGACGCUCAGGUGCGAAAGCGUGGGGAGCAAACAGG